UUUUCCAGAGAAAACAAUCCUCAAUCAGGUUAUCCAAAAAUCUCCAAAUGCAAUAGAUGCAAUAGGCAGGCGUUAGGCCACCUUUGCCAGGAAUGAAGAAGAACAGAUUAAAGAAACGUAGCAGAUUUAGCUACUUGCAAGAAAUAAAUGAUGAUUUGCUGAUGCA
Long non-coding RNA from Pocillopora damicornis (cauliflower coral), 166 nucleotides. Lineage: Eukaryota; Metazoa; Cnidaria; Anthozoa; Scleractinia; Pocilloporidae. The record is from RefSeq and is a predicted model, not a curated record.